Long non-coding RNA from Populus euphratica (Euphrates poplar), 598 nucleotides. RefSeq lists it as uncharacterized. Lineage: Eukaryota; Viridiplantae; Streptophyta; Magnoliopsida; Malpighiales; Salicaceae. The transcript has 2 exons. The record is from RefSeq and is a predicted model, not a curated record.
AUUAUUAUUAUUUCCACGGUUUUGUUCCAUAAAAAAAGGUUCAUCUUGGUGGUUGAUUCAGCUGUCGCUGCUGAAGGAAAUGCAUUCAAGGGCACCGUUGAGAAAUUGGUGAGGCUGCAUGAAAUUUGUGAUAUUAGUGUAGUCAACACAUGCCAGGGUCUCUUACUUUUCCAAAGUAAAUGGACCGUUAGACUGCAACAUGAUUUUGCCGACUCUAGAUGCUGUGACAAGUAACGACAGCAUUGAUGCCGUUGAAACUUCUGAUAGGCCAUGAAGAUAUUUGCCGGCAGUCAAUGAAUAUCGAUUAGUUAGCAGCAAAUUGAAGAGUAGUGGAUAUAUCCAAACCCUAUUUGCCGGCAGUCAAUGAAUAUCAAUUAGUUAGCAGCAAAUUGAAGAGUAGUGCAUAUAUCCAAACCCUGCUUGCAAACUUGUGCUUGGAUAUUAAUACUCAAUAUAUUUUUGGUAUCUAACUGCAUUUCAGACAUUCAUUGCAUACAGAGUGUUAAGAAGUUUCCAUUCCACUUGUUAAAAAUUUCCAGAUUUUGAUGGGUGCAUACCGAAAUCAUAGAAAAUCUUAUAGAGAUGUAAAUUGUUAUAA